Molecule: RNA transcript, 1397 nt
Organism: Saccostrea cuccullata (small rock oyster)
Lineage: Eukaryota; Metazoa; Mollusca; Bivalvia; Ostreida; Ostreidae
Exons: 7
Source: RefSeq, a predicted model, not a curated record
CAACGUGGAAAAUGGUCUCUUAAUAAUAUGUGAUGAUUCAUGCAUAAUCAUAGUAUUGUUGCACACAUGAACAAUUAAAACUUAAAGGACCUAAUAUAUAAAACUGACAACGACGAUUCAGUUAUUAACCAUGUUCUACAUCAAAUGGUGUCUAGGUAUGGUUCUUUUAAUUAUGCAUCCUUAUCUUUCAAAGGGUAAUGCAAGUCACAGCCUUUCAUCUUGUAAUGCGACUCAUAUACAAGUCGUCGAGAGUUGUCCAGAAUCCCAAAGAGCAUGGGAAGAACAAGCCAAGCUGAAGAAUUGUAGCUCGCUAACCCAACCAUGUAGAACACCAGACAAGCUCCAGUACCACUGUUUGGUUAACACGUUUUUGAAUGCAACCAUUUCGAUUUGCGCGACUCCGACUUUCAUAAACGGAUAUCGGUGUGCAGAAUACAAUUUAAGAGGAGAAAGCAUUCAGCCCAACUAUGACACAAAUUGUAGUUUGUACAACCCACCAUGUCCAUUCCGUUACGAUUCAAGGGAUGCAUUUCUUUAUCAGGGAUGUUACAAACUGAUUCAAAGGGACAAUAGCACGUUGAGUGAAAUAUUGUCUUUUGUAUCGACAACUGAGUCAAACAAAGAAAUGACCAGAACGUUUGCUGAAACAUUCUGGCCAAUAUUAUCAUUUGUGCUUGCCUUGACUGUUUUGACAGUUGUUUGUUUUGUUUUCCAAAAAUUCCGGAGAAUUGACUAUAACGGCAAGUAUUUGAUUAAUUUAUAAAAUAUUUUUCUAUGCCAUCUCGAUUUUUUUAUCCAGAAAAUCAAACUGAAGAGUUUUAAAAAAGUAUAAUUAUCUGUGUAUUACUACUUUUCUUCGAUUCAAGCUGUCCAACCUCCGCCAUUUGAAGAAGUUCAUAUAGCCCAUUGAAUCACAUCAAGAUGUGUUCACUUUUUCAUUGAGAGUCUAAAAUCAGGGAGAAUAAAAGGGUAGUUAAUGACAAACCAUCGUGUGAAUUUUGAAAGAUGCGUCCCUAUGCAUAACUGUUCUUAAUUGUUUUACAUAUCUAAUCGCUAUACUAUUUUUUACAUUUGUUUUGUCAUAUUUUCAGUGCUCACUUUGUUGUUUUUGAAUUAAUGUACUUUUUCAAAUUGCACUGUUAAUUGUUAGAAUAUAUUGUGCUUGUAUUGUAGAUAUUGUCAUUUUUUAAUCGGAUCAUUUGUAUGGCAAAUUGCAGAUAAAAGAACUAUAUUGAAUGUUGGGAUUGAUGUUAGACGUUUCAUAUUUUUAAUAUGAUUUUUUUGCAUUAUGUUACUAAAUGGCAUGUCAAUACUUCCAUUUGCUCAAUUGAACAAAACAAGAUCUUUGAAAACCAUUCUUAUUCGUUGAUCUCAGAUUCAGCAUAUCUUUUCCUCAA